Molecule: ribosomal RNA, 557 nt
Filed under: Nostoc spongiaeforme AUS-JR/DB/NT-007
Lineage: Bacteria; Bacillati; Cyanobacteriota; Cyanophyceae; Nostocales; Nostocaceae
Description: bacterial SSU rRNA
Rfam family: Bacterial small subunit ribosomal RNA
Source: RNAcentral
UCAUAACGCGUGAGAAUCUAGCUUCAGGUCGGGGACAACCACUGGAAACGGUGGCUAAUACCGGAUGUGCCGAGAGGUGAAAGGCUUGCUGCCUGAAGAUGAGCUCGCGUCUGAUUAGCUAGUAGGUGGGGUAAGAGCCUACCUAGGCGACGAUCAGUAGCUGGUCUGAGAGGAUGAUCAGCCACACUGGGACUGAGACACGGCCCAGACUCCUACGGGAGGCAGCAGUGGGGAAUUUUCCGCAAUGGGCGAAAGCCUGACGGAGCAAUACCGCGUGAGGGAGGAAGGCUCUUGGGUUGUAAACCUCUUUUCUCAAGGAAGAAGAAAGUGACGGUACUUGAGGAAUCAGCAUCGGCUAACUCCGUGCCAGCAGCCGCGGUAAUACGGAGGAUGCAAGCGUUAUCCGGAAUGAUUGGGCGUAAAGCGUCCGCAGGUGGCUGUGUAAGUCUGCUGUUAAAGAGUCUAGCUCAACUAGAUAAAAGCAGUGGAAACUACACGGCUAGAGUGCGUUCGGGGCAGAGGGAAUUCCUGGUGUAGCGGUGAAAUGCGUAGAUAUC